RNAcentral lists this ribosomal RNA (594 nucleotides) under Triticum aestivum (bread wheat). RNAcentral describes it as "partial small subunit ribosomal RNA". Lineage: Eukaryota; Viridiplantae; Streptophyta; Magnoliopsida; Poales; Poaceae. The record is from RNAcentral.
AUGUCGGUGCCGGAGGCGGGGCAAUCGGCGGGGAGGGACGAGCAGGAGAUGGACGAUUACGAGCAGCACCAGACCAGAGUGCUCAUGGCGCUGAUGCAGGGCUUGUGCGCCGCGAGGUACCGCAAGGCCGACAACACCCCCUGCCUCGUCGACCAGGGCCUCUACCUGGGUUCUGUUGGAGCAGCACUGAAUAACGAGGCUCUGAAGAGCUUGAACAUCACCCACAUCUUGGUUGUUGCCAGAUCAUUGAAUCCCGCUUUUCCAGCAGAAUUUACGUACAAGAAGAUCGAGGUACUUGACAGCCCAGACACUGAUUUGGGAAAGCAUUUCGGUGAAUGCUUUACUUUCAUAGAUGAGGGUAUCUGCACUGGUGGCAAUGUGCUGGUUCACUGCUUUGCAGGUCGGUCGCGGAGUGUCACAGUUAUUCUUGCAUAUCUUAUGAAGAAGCAUCAGAUGAGCCUGCAAAGUGCCAUGUCACUAGUUAGAAGCAAACGACCUCAAAUAGCACCCAAUGCGGGCUUUAUAUCCCAGCUGGUGAACUUUGAGAAGUCUCUGCAAGUGGAGCAGGGACAAAGAACGUUGCAAUCUAACUAA